ACCAAACGAACCCUACCCUUAACCCCUUCUCUCUCUUCCUCUUAUAUGCUAAACCCUAGCCGCUGCCUAUAUUCUCCCUCUCUCUCUCAUCUAAAAAUGGUAAAAAUGCAGAGAGCCCAGAAAAUGCACAGCUUUUGCAUAAUCAUUUUUAUGAAACAAUCAAUUUCAAGUUUUGUUUUCACUCGAAUCUCUCCCAAACGCGGUAAUCGCCCUUUUCUUUUGAAUUAUUGAGUCAAAAGGUUGAUCUUUUCUGUUUUAUUUGUUGUACUGUGUUCGUAUUUACUCAAAUCUGACCAUUCGUUGAUGGUUUGAGUCAAUCUAGGUCGUAGAUAACAUUUGCAAGGGUUAGUUUCUAGGAAAACUAGUUUGUCCCACAUCGUUGGCUUGUUUCUUUGUAUGAGUUUUGGGGUUCUAUUUACCCUAAAAAAAAAAGUUUGAACAUCUAUAGCUUGAACUUUGAGUGAACAAAACUCGAAAUUCUGAGCUUUAGUUAAAUUUUUUUUAAAGACUUAACUGCUAAGUGGAGUCUUCUAGUCCAAAUAUUUAUUUGCUUUUUCUCUUGUGUGGUGAAUUGCGACAAUUGAAAGCACAAAGGCUCCAAAUCCAUUCUUGUUCACAGCUGCGCAAACAAAAGGUUCAGGUAGACAGGGUGACGAUCCGCCUUAGUAGGUUGAUGUUCAGCUGAUAUUGGAGCACUCCACUUGUCUCGGAGUUGCCGUCGUGUCUUGGUACAGUAUAUUUUUGUUGUACAUAUCGGUAUGGCGGGGACCUAUCCUGACCUUAUUAUAUCAUGUACUCUAGUAGAGGCUUGUAGACAGUUGUGGUGCAGUUAGACGUUGUGUGGCCCCCUCGGCCUAUAUUUUGUUAUAUAGUUGUCUAUGAUGGCCUUGUCCGCUCGUACAAUUUUGUCUAGCAUGGUUAUAUACGUAUGUUCUUUUGGGCUCA
Long non-coding RNA from Lycium barbarum (goji berry), 945 nucleotides. RefSeq lists it as uncharacterized. The record is from RefSeq and is a predicted model, not a curated record. The transcript has 2 exons. Lineage: Eukaryota; Viridiplantae; Streptophyta; Magnoliopsida; Solanales; Solanaceae.